Molecule: ribosomal RNA, 274 nt
Filed under: uncultured bacterium
Lineage: Bacteria
Description: partial 16S ribosomal RNA
Rfam family: Bacterial small subunit ribosomal RNA
Source: RNAcentral
AUACGGAGGGUGCGAGCGUUAUCCGGAUUUAUUGGGUUUAAAGGGUGCGUAGGCGGAAUAUUAAGUCAGUGGUGAAAUCCUGCGGCUCAACCGUAGAACUGCCAUUGAUACUGAUAUUCUUGAAUGUAGUUGAGGUAGGCGGAAUGUGUAAUGUAGCGGUGAAAUGCUUAGAUAUUACACAGAACACCGAUUGCGAAGGCAGCUUACUAAACUAUGAUUGACGCUGAUGCACGAAAGCGUGGGGAGCGAACAGGAUUAGAUACCCCGGUAGUCC